This is a long non-coding RNA of Hypanus sabinus (Atlantic stingray), 1159 nucleotides long. RefSeq lists it as uncharacterized. The record is from RefSeq and is a predicted model, not a curated record. Lineage: Eukaryota; Metazoa; Chordata; Chondrichthyes; Myliobatiformes; Dasyatidae. The transcript is spliced from 4 exons.
AGCGCAGCCGGCGAGAACCGCCGAUGCUACUGGCCCGGAGCGCAGCCGGCGAGAACCGCCGAUGCUACUGGCCCGGAGCGCAGCCGGCGAGAACCGCCGAUGCUACUGGCCCGGAGCGCAGCCGGCGAGAACCGCCGAUGCUACUGGCUGGAGCGCGGCUGGUAGGAAGUGUCGAUGCUGCUGGCCCGGAACGCAGACAGAUGGGCGCUGCCUCUAAACCUGUUUAGCACACUGAAGGUUCGUGGGGAACCCGAUGAUAAAAUAUUCGCAGACGACCUAACUCGGACUCAAGGUUGCGAAAGUAACAGAGCAGCUACCUCGCUGCGAUAUAUUUAAAGUCAUCCCUCUAGCCAAACUUUUGUCCGCCGAUAGAUCCUACAAGGGGGGCAGGCACAGGCCUGUCACACACCUCGCUUGGUCGGUCACUCUCUCUGGACUGUGACUACCAGUGCCCUGGCACGGGGUCCUCUGACCCAUGACCAGCCGCAUUUGGCCAGGGCGUCUGGCGGCGGGCGGAUGGAGGCUGGAGUUUGGGCCGGGAGACUGUCUAAUGAGGCAACGAAGCCCUCAAAACUGCUUCGGCACCCUGAGUCCAAGCACCUUGCACUUAAAGAUGGACCUGCUGAGUUUUUCCAGAGGGAAAAACAUGAGCAGCGCGGGACAGAAGCUAAGUGCCGAGAGCCGUGAAAACUAAAUUGCGGGAUAGACUGGACAUAAGGAACCUGCUUCGAGUAUCACUGUAUUCCCGUCAUGUUUAACACCCCCACUCCCCCGUCGGCCGGUCCGCAAGAACAUUAUCAAUAUUAAACUGGUCCACGGUGCAAAAAAAGAAUUCAGAAGGACAAUGGAUAUUUUUUAAUAUGGAGCAUAGAACAUAGAAGAUUACAGGAACAGGUUCCUUGGCCCAUCAUACCAGUACUGAGUACAAUGCCAAAUUAACUAGUCUCACCAGCCCACUCACGGAUGUGGAAAGACAUCUGAGCAACUGCAGAAAACCCAUAAGGCCCUAGGAAAAAUGUUUAAACAUCAAUCAAGUAUCAUCGGAGAUCAGGAUGGAACUCUGGAAACACAAAAGGGAAUUGACAGCGUGUCAAUAGGAAUCACAAAAGGAAAUUUAGGUCCAGUUUCUGACUGAGCAGCUCUUGAACAGGAAAUGCAG